Molecule: transfer RNA, 107 nt
Filed under: Escovopsis weberi
Lineage: Eukaryota; Fungi; Ascomycota; Sordariomycetes; Hypocreales; Hypocreaceae
Rfam family: tRNA
About the family: Transfer RNA (tRNA) molecules are approximately 80 nucleotides in length. Their secondary structure includes four short double-helical elements and three loops (D, anti-codon, and T loops).
Source: Rfam by way of RNAcentral
GUCUUCGUGGCGCAGUUGGUUAGCGCGUCAGUCUCAUAUCACGUGAUAUGAUUCAAUCGGAAGAUUGGGCCAUCUGAAGGUCGUGAGUUCGAGCCUCACCGAGGACA